GGGGGUGUAGCUCAGUUGGGAGAGCGCCAGCUUUGCAAGCUGGAUGUCGUGGGUUCGAUCCCCUCCACCUCCACCA
Molecule: transfer RNA, 76 nt
Filed under: Bacteroidota bacterium
Lineage: Bacteria; Pseudomonadati; Bacteroidota
Also listed under: 1 other name
Description: Bacteroidetes bacterium tRNA-Ala
Rfam family: tRNA
About the family: Transfer RNA (tRNA) molecules are approximately 80 nucleotides in length. Their secondary structure includes four short double-helical elements and three loops (D, anti-codon, and T loops). Further hydrogen bonds mediate the characteristic L-shaped molecular structure. tRNAs have two regions of fundamental functional importance: the anti-codon, which is responsible for specific mRNA codon recognition, and the 3' end, to which the tRNAs corresponding amino acid is attached (by aminoacyl-tRNA synthetases). tRNAs cope with the degeneracy of the genetic code in two manners: having more than one tRNA (with a specific anti-codon) for a particular amino acid; and 'wobble' base-pairing, i.e. permitting non-standard base-pairing at the 3rd anti-codon position.
Source: RNAcentral